Molecule: ribosomal RNA, 425 nt
Filed under: uncultured bacterium
Lineage: Bacteria
Description: bacterial SSU rRNA
Rfam family: Bacterial small subunit ribosomal RNA
Source: RNAcentral
GGGAAUAUUGCACAAUGGGCGCAAGCCUGAUGCAGCCAUGCCGCGUGUGUGAAGAAGGCCUUCGGGUUGUAAAGCACUUUCAGCGAGGAGGAAGGCGUUGCAGUUAAUAGCUGCAACGAUUGACGUUACUCGCAGAAGAAGCACCGGCUAACUCCGUGCCAGCAGCCGCGGUAAUACGGAGGGUGCAAGCGUUAAUCGGAAUUACUGGGCGUAAAGCGCACGCAGGCGGUUUGUUAAGUCAGAUGUGAAAUCCCCGAGCUUAACUUGGGAACUGCAUUUGAAACUGGCAAGCUAGAGUCUUGUAGAGGGGGGUAGAAUUCCAGGUGUAGCGGUGAAAUGCGUAGAGAUCUGGAGGAAUACCGGUGGCGAAGGCGGCCCCCUGGACAAAGACUGACGCUCAGGUGCGAAAGCGUGGGGAGCAAACA